This 27-nucleotide small RNA is filed under the name Bombyx mori (domestic silkworm). Its description in RNAcentral is "ovarian small RNA-6072". Lineage: Eukaryota; Metazoa; Arthropoda; Insecta; Lepidoptera; Bombycidae. The record is from RNAcentral.
UACCUACGGGCGGGAGGCGGUCGCGGA